CUAUCUACAGGCUUAACACAUGCAAGUCGAGGGGCAGCAUGGUCUUAGCUUGCUAAGGCCGAUGGCGACCGGCGCACGGGUGAGUAACACGUAUCCAACCUGCCGUCUACUCUUGGACAGCCUUCUGAAAGGAAGAUUAAUACGAGAUGGCAUCAUGAGUCCACAUGUUCACAUGAUUAAAGGUAUUCCGGUAGACGAUGGGGAUGCGUUCCAUUAGAUAGUAGGCGGGGUAACGGCCCACCUAGUCUUCGAUGGAUAGGGGUUCUGAGAGGAAGGUCCCCCACAUUGGAACUGAGACACGGUCCAAACUCCUACGGGAGGCAGCAGUGAGGAAUAUUGGUCAAUGGGCGAGAGCCUGAACCAGCCAAGUAGCGUGAAGGAUGACUGCCCUAUGGGUUGUAAACUUCUUUUAUAAAGGAAUAAAGUCGGGUAUGCAUACCCGUUUGCAUGUACUUUAUGAAUAAGGAUCGGCUAACUCCGUGCCAGCAGCCGCGGUAAUACGGAGGAUCCGAGCGUUAUCCGGAUUUAUUGGGUUUAAAGGGAGCGUAGAUGGAUGUUUAAGUCAGUUGUGAAAGUUUGCGGCUCAACCGUAAAAUUGCAGUUGAUACUGGAUAUCUUGAGUGCAGUUGAGGCAGGCGGAAUUCGUGGUGUAGCGGUGAAAUGCUUAGAUAUCACGAAGAACUCCGAUUGCGAAGGCAGCCUGCUAAGCUGCAACUGACAUUGAGGCUCGAAAGUGUGGGUAUCAAACAGGAUUAGAUACCCUGGUAGUCCACACGGUAAACGAUGAAUACUCGCUGUUUGCGAUAUACUGCAAGCGGCCAAGCGAAAGCGUUAAGUAUUCCACCUGGGGAGUACGCCGGCAACGGUGAAACUCAAAGGAAUUGACGGGGGCCCGCACAAGCGGAGGAACAUGUGGUUUAAUUCGAUGAUACGCGAGGAACCUUACCCGGGCUUAAAUUGCAGAUGAAUUACGGUGAAAGCCGUAAGCCGCAAGGCAUCUGUGAAGGUGCUGCAUGGUUGUCGUCAGCUCGUGCCGUGAGGUGUCGGCUUAAGUGCCAUAACGAGCGCAACCCUUGUUGUCAGUUACUAACAGGUUCUGCUGAGGACUCUGACAAGACUGCCAUCGUAAGAUGUGAGGAAGGUGGGGAUGACGUCAAAUCAGCACGGCCCUUACGUCCGGGGCUACACACGUGUUACAAUGGGGGGUACAGAGGGCCGCUACCACGCGAGUGGAUGCCAAUCCCAAAAACCUCUCUCAGUUCGGACUGGAGUCUGCAACCCGACUCCACGAAGCUGGAUUCGCUAGUAAUCGCGCAUCAGCCACGGCGCGGUGGAUACGUUCCCGGGCCUUGUACACACCGCCCGUCAAGCCAUGGGAGCCGGGGGUACCUGAAGUGCGUAACCGCGAGGAGCGCCCUAGGGUAAAACUGGUGACUGGG
Molecule: ribosomal RNA, 1439 nt
Filed under: uncultured organism
Description: SSU rRNA
Rfam family: Bacterial small subunit ribosomal RNA
Source: RNAcentral